RNAcentral lists this ribosomal RNA (442 nucleotides) under uncultured bacterium. RNAcentral's name for it is "partial 16S ribosomal RNA". It matches the Rfam family "Bacterial small subunit ribosomal RNA", at positions 338 to 795 of the family's 1533-position model. The record is from RNAcentral.
GCUACGGGAGGCAGCAGUGGGGAAUAUUGGGCAAUGGAGGCAACUCUGACCCAGCAACGCCGCGUGAGCGAUGAAGGUCUUCGGAUUGUAAAGCUCUUUAAGCGGGGACGAAGAAAGUGACUGUACCCGCAGAAUAAGCCUCGGCUAACUACGUGCCAGCAGCCGCGGUAAUACGUAGGAGGCGAGCGUUAUCCGGAUUUAUUGGGUUUAAAGGGUGCGCAGGCGGAAGAUCAAGUCAGCGGUAAAAUUGAGAGGCUCAACCUCUUCGAGCCGUUGAAACUGGUUUUCUUGAGUGAGCGAGAAGUAUGCGGAAUGCGUGGUGUAGCGGUGAAAUGCAUAGAUAUCACGCAGAACUCCGAUUGCGAAGGCAGCAUACCGGCGCUCAACUGACGCUCAUGCACGAAAGUGUGGGUAUCGAACAGGAUUAGAUACCCCAGUAGUC